AAAGUCGUAACAAGGUUUCCGUAGGUGAACCUGCGGAAGGAUCAUUAAAGGGAAUUCCGGGGUUUCGUCCCCGUCCUCCCACCCAUGAAUACGCGAGGUCAAUCAUCGAGUUACUUCGGCGGAUCUUUUCGCCGCCGAGCAACAACCACAAACUCUAAUUCGACGUGUCGUCUGAGUAAAAACACAAACGAAUCAAAACUUUCAACAACGGAUCUCUUGGUUCUG
Molecule: unclassified non-coding RNA, 225 nt
Filed under: Ascomycota sp.
Lineage: Eukaryota; Fungi; Ascomycota
Description: partial contains small subunit ribosomal RNA, internal transcribed spacer 1, and 5.8S ribosomal RNA
Rfam family: Eukaryotic small subunit ribosomal RNA (bases 1-47)
Source: RNAcentral